UAGGGAAUCUUCCACAAUGGACGCAAGUCUGAUGGAGCAACGCCGCGUGAGUGAAGAAGGUUUUCGGAUCGUAAAGCUCUGUUGUUGGUGAAGAAGGAUAGAGGUAGUAACUGGCCUUUAUUUGACGAUAAUCAACCAGAAAGUCACGGCUAACUACGUGCCAGCAGCCGCGGUAAUACGUAGGUGGCAAGCGUUGUCCGGAUUUAUUGGGCGUAAAGCGAGCGCAGGCGGAAGAAUAAGUCUGAUGUGAAAUCCCUCGGCUUAACCGAGGAACUGCAUCGGAAACUGUUUUUCUUGAGUGCAGAAGAGGAGAGUGGAAUUCCAUGUGUAGCGGUGGAAUGCGUAGAUAUAUGGAAGAACACCAGUGGCGAAGGCGACUCUCUGGUCUGCAACUGACGCUGAGGCUCGAAAGCAUGGGUAGCGAACAGG
This 429-nucleotide ribosomal RNA is filed under the name bacterium. RNAcentral describes it as "partial 16S ribosomal RNA". It matches the Rfam family "Bacterial small subunit ribosomal RNA", at positions 355 to 776 of the family's 1533-position model. The record is from RNAcentral.